Cyprinus carpio carpio is the source of this 1407-nucleotide long non-coding RNA. Lineage: Eukaryota; Metazoa; Chordata; Actinopteri; Cypriniformes; Cyprinidae. The record is from Ensembl.
GGGAUAUGCAAAUGCGUGCGUCCUCCUCAGAGCUGCAGCUGUAAGCUCGAGCUCACGCGCUGGACAGAGCACUCACAUCCACUCCUGCUUUAGUGUUCUGCUACUGCUGCCCUGCCGCUCAGUCUUUCCUCUUUACUUUCUCCUCUGUCUGUCUGUCUGUCUGUCUGUCUCUCUCUCUCAUGUGAGUGGUACAGUGGGCAGGAUGGUGCCAGAACAGCAGAUGUUUCGAUUGCAGCACUGCUUGCCCGCCAACAACUGAAGUCAGUGCUCCAGAGAAACCUUGUGGGACUCAGCAAGGAAAACAAGCAACACUUCACAACCUCUGGACUCUAAAGCCCAGCUGAUUUUACCCCCCAUCCUCCCUAGCUUUUGCUUUCUAUACACUUUCUCUGUGCUCUUCCACUGGAUUUUUCUGCAAGUGCUUUUGUCAACCUUUGCUCUGCUACUUAAAGAUGAGGGGGACAUUCGCAUACGGAGGUCUUCUGUUAGUUAUGUUGCUACUGACUUCAGCGGAUGCCAAAGGAAAUCUCCAUGGAAGUUCAUACAGAUACAACCUACACAAGUCUGGGAGCAUCCCGCAGUACACCCCUGGAAAACCAACGGGCCAUCAUAAUCAUUCCGGAGCAAUUUGAAUCCGGCUCAAAGAUAAGAAGUUGGCAUGUUGAGAAAAUUCACAACACAGACGUGCUGGCAUAGGAAUUCUGAAAUGCCAGUGGUAUCAAAUGCAGAUUGCAAAUGUUGGCAGUGCUGUUGUAUCUGCCUCAUCUGUCCUCUGUGACCCAUGUUCUGAACAGCUUCUGCUACCACACAAACCGGUUGUGUAUCUGAACAAGUUCAUGUUUGGUCACUCCAGGAAAUCACAGCAUCUCUGGCAUGCUCCUGUUGCAAUGGUAUACAGCAUGAUUAAACUGCCUUCUAAGAUAACUUCUUUCGCCCACAAUGUAAGGCAGCAUCUGUCUUCAAGGAGAAGGCAAUGCCAGAAUGCAUUGCAAUGAGCUCAGUGAAGAUAUUCCAUCCAGUAUUGGACAAACAAAGGGAAAUGUUCUGUGCUUUGACAACCCUUGUGAAAUACACUUUAGCAUACAUUUAAAAAGAGUAGCUAUGAUGGAAGGAAUAUACUAAGUGAAUACACUUACACAAUAUUUAAAUAAUUACACAAUAUCAAUAAUUACGAUUACACAAUACACACUAAAGAAUACACUUCAGUGCAAAAUAAAUCUCAUGUUUACAAACACUUAAUUGCAUGUUAUUUACAAUGAAAUGAAACAUUGUUAUAGUUUAAAUUUAUAUUAAAUGUGAUUUGUUUGACCUACUUAAGUAGGACUUACUUACAUCAUCUUUGAAAUAUGGUUAAAGCGUACCACCAAAUGUACUGACAUGCAUUUGGGGUAAAUUAAAAUUAACUUG